CUCUGAUUUUGAGGAAGAGAGCUUAGUAUUGAACAGAAUUCAUUUCCCUCUCCCAACUCCCUUCCUCCCUUUUGACACAAAAGCAGAGAAAAGCUGCCUCUCGGUCAUCAAAAGUAUCUUUUCCUUUCUGCGUGCAAUUAAGUGCUACACACACGCACCACCCCCACCCCAACACCCCAUCACGGUCCAACUGCAGAAUCACCAAUGACUGAAACUGAACACUGAUACUACUUGAAGUUGAACUAAUUGAUACCUACCACCGCUUGCUGGAGGUUGAGGAUGCCCAGUGAGUGUGCACCCGGGCUGGAGAAGGGAGGAGGUAUGGCCCGGAAAAGAGACACAGAAAGGUGGAUGAUGCCCACCUGGCUGCCGAUGACUUCUGCACCAAGUGAGGCUGGGUCUCUGGAGCUGCCCCAGGGGCUGGACAAGCUGACCCUGCCUGGAGCCAAGCUGGAGAUGCAGCCUGAGAACCUCAAGGAGGACGUGGUCUACCUGAAGAAGAACCAUGAGGAGGUGAGUUCAGCUCAGGGAAUGCAGCAGAAAUUCACCUGGAAGCAAGCGAGGCUGGGGCCCAGAACCUCCCUGGGCUGGGCCAUGCUUCCAGUCCAGUUCCCAUCCUUAAUGGAUGCCUAGCUCUGACCCUCAGAGGACCCUGGGUGAGGCCUGGAGGAGCCCUCUUCUCAAAUAGACUUCAUUUGUCCCUUCAGGCUCAGCUCACUGCAGUUAACUAACUAAUGAGUAACUCAGUGUAAGAACACACAAUGCUAAUUAUUAUAAUUAAUUAUAAUAGUGAUAGUCAUUAAAACAAGGAACUUCUGCCCAGCACUACAAGUGACUCACAGCCAUUACCUCAACUGAUACAAAAACUGGGAGAAAGAUACUGUUUCUUCCUUUUGACCUGUGAAGAAACUGAGGCUCAGAGAGGUUAAGGGAUAUAUCUACGGCUGCACAGGGACCCUCCUUAAGGUCGGACUCGUAUCCACCCCACCUCUCUGCCCCUCUCCUGCCUCUCCUUUCCAGAAGGUUCUAGGUCCCAGGGACUGCAAGGCUCAACCCACGGAUAGAGAUCCAAGGUCCUGCCGGGGCGGUCAGGAGGUCUUACAUGCCCUGUCCUGUGGCUUCCUUCUCAGCUGAGCUCUGUGCUGCUCUAAGCUGGGGGAGCCUACUCCCCGAGAAGCAGGACACCCAGAAGGUGUUUCCCCCUGGCGUUGAGGCUGGUUAUACAAUUGCUUUCCUCCAGCAGAUUAACAUUUGCUAACGGGGCCUGGCGCGGUGACACCAGCGUAAGGUUGCUUUUUGCAUGCCUGUGCUGUGGGGUUGGUGGUGGGGGCAAGGCGGUGGUAGGGGCGAGGUCAGGGCAGUGAGUGAGGUUGCCCAUGGUCAUCCUCCACCGUGCUGGGGGGUUGUCAUCUCUCGGGGCUUAGCACUUGUUGGGGAUGGGUGAAGUCCAGUCCUGAGUCACAGUGUGUGUUGGGAGAGGUUGCUGAUAUUCAUAGCCCUGUAUGUUUGAGUAAUGACAACAUCCAUCUCCACCUUCAGGGUGAGGAGCUGUUGGCCUAUCUGUGUCUGUCUGUCUGUCAUCCGUACCUGUCUCUCUGAGGGAGAGAAGGCAGGCCCCAGGGUCUUUCCCCAGGAUGGCCUUGGGUGAGUUCCUGCUGUCCUCUCUGCCCAGGAAAUGAACGCCCUUUGAGGUCAGGUGGACGAGGAUGUCAGUGUGAAGAUGGACACUGUGCCUGGAGUGAACCUGAGCUGCAUCCUGAAUGAGAUGUGUGACCAGGACAAGAAACUGGUGGAGAAGAGCUGCAAGGAUGCCCAGGGCUGGUUCUUCAGCGUGGUGGGUGGCCGUGUGUAAGCAGGUGUGCACACGUGUGGGCACAUAUGCUGUGUGCUGGUGCAGCUGGCAGAUUCACAGGCUGUCCCAGUUGGAAGGACUUUUGGAAACCAGUCGGACCAGCCCUUCAUGUCUUCGACGUAAAAUGUGAGGCUCAGAGAGGACUCAAGCUCACACAGCCCUUCACUGUGGCCUGCAAAAUAGAUCCAGUUCUCUGCAAGUCUGGUCUUGGGUUUCCACCACAGCUGUUUACAGGAUGUGUGUAUUUGAGUACGUACGCAUACCCUUGGCAAGCACAAGCUGUGUGUUUCCGGUGUCCUAGAGACAGCAACAGGUGCAAAAGAAUAACACCCAGUGCCUGUCUUUGAGGUGCUGUAGUUCGGUAGGAGUAAGAAAUGCAAACGACCGCAGAGCAGGCUGAAUUCCUCCAAGGUCCAACGUGGGUGCAGAGGGUCUUUUUGUGCAGGUGCCUUUGGGGCCCCAUAGAGGCCAGGGAGGGUUUAGGGGAUGGUUCUGGGAGGCGAGGGCUCAGGAACAGCCCCUUUCCUGUGCCCCACUUCUGAAAGUCUCCAUAAACCCCUGUGGCCCACUCUGCCUUCCAGAGAGAGGGGCUGAACUGCGAGGUGGCCACCAACACAGAGGCCCUGCAGAGCGGCAGGAUGGAGAUACGGAGCUCUACAUCUCUGUGCAUAACCUGAGCCGUCCCAGCUCAGCAAGAAAGCAUCGCUGGAGGGCAGCCUGGUGGAGACGGAGGUGUGCUACAGGACCCAGCUGGCCCAGCUGCAGGGGCUCAUCAGAAGCAUGAAACAGCAGCUGUGCGAGCUCUGCUGUGAUGCAGAGCACCAGAACCACGAGCACCAGGUCCUUCUGGACGUGAAGACGCGGCUGGAGCAGGAGAUCGCCACCUACAGCCGCUUGCUAGAGGUUGAGGACGCCCAGUGAGUGUGCACCCAGGAGGUGAAACUGAGGAUGCAGGCUGGAGUCUGACUGAGGAGCCUUGACUGCCAAGUUAAAGCAUCUGGACUAGAUCACGUAGGCAAUGGGGAGCCAUGGAGGGAUUUGGAGCAGAACAGGGGAAUGAACAUCAAGAUAUUUUAGAACAUUCACUCUGGCUGCAGAGGGAGAAAUGGACCAGAGGGGUCAGGGUGGGGCCAGAGAGAUGCGUCAGGGGGCUAGAGCAGGGAGUCUGGCCAGAGAAGUCUUGCGGAGUGGAGGCUGGGUGGGGGGGCAGGGGAAGGAAGGUGGUGCAUGCAGAAGAGAGGUUAUAGCUCAAAACAGCAGGACUGGAUGCGUGGAUCUCAGGCCUGUAAGCAUGGCUCACAGUCAGGACUCAGUAAGUGUUGGGUGAACACAUAUGAAGGAGUGGGCAUUGAUGGCCCUGGGUUUCUGGUUCCGAUGACUGUGAGUCCAUCAGCCACAGGGUGAAGAGCAUGGUGGGUGAUGGUCGGGUUUGCAGUUGGGAAGGGUGAUCAGGCCUUCAGCUGAGAGUGUCCUGGAGUCUCCAUGCUUAGUCACACGUUGCAGCUUUUUGCUCCCCGAAAAUGGUGAAGUCCAUCUAUAGUCUAACGACAGUCUCUCCUGCUUUAAUUGGGUCUAUUUGUUGGGUCCUCUGGGAUAUGGAAAAACCACUUGCUCAGCUUCUUGUAAAUUCCUGGUGAGUGCCUCCAGGCCUACUGCUGUGCUGUUUCUUUUUCUUCUUCCUGCUGCGCUGAACCCCUGCCCUUUCAUUCUUGGGCUUGUGCUAAUUUCUGUGCAUUCCCAACUGUGAUUUUUCACCAAUUUAGGGGAACCUCCUCUGCCAGGGCCUGCUUCUCCCCAGCAGUGCUUGCAGGGGCCUGGGCUGGCUGGCAUCCCUGGGUCGAUGGGUGCUCCUCUCCCUGCAGGCUGGCCACUCAGUACUCCUUGUCCCUGGCCUCGCAGCCCACCCGGGAAGCCACAGUGACCAGCCACCAGGUGUGCCAUCGUGGAGGAAGUCCAGGUUGGAGAGGUGGUCUUCUGUGAGCAGGUCCAUCUCUCAAGCCACUGAGGCCCCUUUCUGCCUGUGACAGCCCCACCUCGAGGGUCACGGCACAGCCAUCAGCUCCAGCUCCCAGCAUGCUACUGCCACGCCCCGAGUGUCCGUCUGGGCACCGGUCCAUGACCUGUUGUCUUUCUGUAUCUACUUUCUGCAGCCCCUCACUGAGGAGGCCCCCUGGGUUUGUCCAGUGCCUGCUAUUAAAGCUUUGCUCCAAGUUCAA
Molecule: RNA transcript, 4068 nt
Organism: Gorilla gorilla gorilla (western lowland gorilla)
Lineage: Eukaryota; Metazoa; Chordata; Mammalia; Primates; Hominidae
Exons: 6
Source: RefSeq, a predicted model, not a curated record